Molecule: unclassified non-coding RNA, 337 nt
Filed under: uncultured fungus
Lineage: Eukaryota; Fungi
Description: partial contains 5.8S ribosomal RNA and internal transcribed spacer 2
Rfam family: 5.8S ribosomal RNA (bases 1-133)
Source: RNAcentral
UGGUUCUGGCAUCGAUGAAGAACGCAGCGAAAUGCGAUAAGUAAUGUGAAUUGCAGAAUUCCGUGAAUCAUCGAAUCUUUGAACGCACAUUGCGCCCGCCAGUAUUCUGGCGGGCAUGCCUGUUCGAGCGUCAUUUCAACCCUCGAGCCCCUUUGGGGGCUUGGUGUUGGGGCUCGGCACGUCCCUAGCGGCGCGCCGUCCCCGAAAUCUAGUGGCGGUCUCGCGGCAGCCUCCUUUGCGCAGUAGUAUUACCUCGCACUGGAACGUCGCUUGGCCACGCCGUUAAACCCCCCACUUCUGAAAGGUUGACCUCGGAUCAGGUAGGAAUACCCGCUGA